AGCGUACACGGUGGAUGCCUAGGCAGUCAGAGGCGAUGAAGGGCGUGCUAAUCUGCGAAAAGCGUCGGUAAGCUGAUAUGAAGCGUUAUAACCGACGAUACCCGAAUGGGGAAACCCAGUGCAAUACGUUGCACUAUCGUUAGAUGAAUACAUAGUCUAACGAGGCGAACCGGGGGAACUGAAACAUCUAAGUACCCCGAGGAAAAGAAAUCAACCGAGAUUCCCCCAGUAGCGGCGAGCGAACGGGGAGGAGCCCAGAGUCUGAAUCAGUUUGUGUGUUAGUGGAAGCGUCUGGAAAGUCGCACGGUACAGGGUGAUAGUCCCGUACACCAAAAUGCACAGGCUGUGAACUCGAUGAGUAGGGCGGGACACGUGACAUCCUGUCUGAAUAUGGGGGGACCAUCCUCCAAGGCUAAAUACUCCUGACUGACCGAUAGUGAACCAGUACCGUGAGGGAAAGGCGAAAAGAACCCCGGCGAGGGGAGUGAAAUAGAACCUGAAACCGUGUACGUACAAGCAGUGGGAGCACCUUCGUGGUGUGACUGCGUACCUUUUGUAUAAUGGGUCAGCGACUUAUAUUUUGUAGCAAGGUUAACCGAAUAGGGGAGCCGUAGGGAAACCGAGUCUUAACUGGGCGUCUAGUUGCAAGGUAUAGACCCGAAACCCGGUGAUCUAGCCAUGGGCAGGUUGAAGGUUGGGUAACACUAACUGGAGGACCGAACCGACUAAUGUUGAAAAAUUAGCGGAUGACUUGUGGCUGGGGGUGAAAGGCCAAUCAAACCGGGAGAUAGCUGGUUCUCCCCGAAAGCUAUUUAGGUAGCGCCUCGUGAACUCAUCUUCGGGGGUAGAGCACUGUUUCGGCUAGGGGGCCAUCCCGGCUUACCAAACCGAUGCAAACUCCGAAUACCGAAGAAUGUUAUCACGGGAGACACACGGCGGGUGCUAACGUCCGUCGUGAAGAGGGAAACAACCCAGACCGCCAGCUAAGGUCCCAAAGUCAUGGUUAAGUGGGAAACGAUGUGGGAAGGCACAGACAGCCAGGAUGUUGGCUUAGAAGCAGCCAUCAUUUAAAGAAAGCGUAAUAGCUCACUGGUCGAGUCGGCCUGCGCGGAAGAUGUAACGGGGCUAAACCAUGCACCGAAGCUGCGGCAGCGACGUUUAGGCGUUGUUGGGUAGGGGAGCGUUCUGUAAGCCGUUGAAGGUGACCUGUGAGGGUUGCUGGAGGUAUCAGAAGUGCGAAUGCUGACAUAAGUAACGAUAAUGCGGGUGAAAACCCGCACGCCGGAAGACCAAGGGUUCCUGUCCAACGUUAAUCGGGGCAGGGUGAGUCGACCCCUAAGGCGAGGCUGAAAAGCGUAGUCGAUGGGAAACAGGUUAAUAUUCCUGUACUUGGUGUUACUGCGAAGGGGGGACGGAGAAGGCUAGGCUGGCCGGGCGACGGUUGUCCCGGUUUAAGCGUGUAGGGGGAGUGACCAGGUAAAUCCGGUUGCUUAUCAACCCUGAGGCGUGAUGACGAUGCACCACGGUGCAGAAGCAGUUGAUGCCAUGCUUCCAGGAAAAGCCUCUAAGCAUCAGGUAACAUUAAAUCGUACCCCAAACCGACACAGGUGGUCAGGUAGAGAAUACUCAGGCGCUUGAGAGAACUCGGGUGAAGGAACUAGGCAAAAUGGUGCCGUAACUUCGGGAGAAGGCACGCUGGCGUUAGGUGAAAGGACUAGCUCCUGGAGCUGAAGCCAGUCGCAGAUACCAGCUGGCUGCAACUGUUUAAUAAAAACACAGCACUGUGCAAACACGAAAGUGGACGUAUACGGUGUGACGCCUGCCCGGUGCUGGAAGGUUAAUUGAUGGGGUCAGCCGCAAGGGGAAGCUCUUGAUCGAAGCCCCAGUAAACGGCGGCCGUAACUAUAACGGUCCUAAGGUAGCGAAAUUCCUUGUCGGGUAAGUUCCGACCUGCACGAAUGGCGUAAUGAUGGCCAGGCUGUCUCCACCCGAGACUCAGUGAAAUUGAACUCGCUGUGAAGAUGCAGUGUACCCGCGGCAAGACGGAAAGACCCCGUGAACCUUUACUAUAGCUUGACACUGAACAUUGAGCCUUGAUGUGUAGGAUAGGUGGGAGGCCUUGAAGUGUGGACGCCAGUCUGCAUGGAGCCAACCUUGAAAUACCACCCUUUAAUGUUUGAUGUUCUAACUCGGCCCCAUGAUCUGGGGUGAGGACAGUGUCUGGUGGGUAGUUUGACUGGGGCGGUCUCCUCCCAAAGAGUAACGGAGGAGCACGAAGGUUAGCUAAUCACGGUCGGACAUCGUGAGGUUAGUGCAAAGGCAUAAGCUAGCUUGACUGCGAGAGUGACGGCUCGAGCAGGUACGAAAGUAGGUCUUAGUAUCCGGUGGUUCUGAAUGGAAGGGCCAUCGCUCAACGGAUAAAAGGUACUCCGGGGAUAACAGGCUGAUACCGCCCAAGAGUUCAUAUCGACGGCGGUGUUUGGCACCUCGAUGUCGGCUCAUCACAUCCUGGGGCUGAAGUAGGUCCCAAGGGUAUGGCUGUUCGCCAUUUAAAGUGGUACGCGAGCUGGGUUUAGAACGUCGUGAGACAGUUCGGUCCCUAUCUGCCGUGGGCGUUGGAAGAUUGAGAGGGGCUGCUCCUAGUACGAGAGGACCGGAGUGGACGAAUCACUGGUGUUCGGGUUGUCAUGCCAAUGGCAUUGCCCGGUAGCUAAAUUCGGAAGAGAUAACCGCUGAAAGCAUCUAAGCGGGAAACUUGCCUCGAGAUGAGUCUUCCCUGGGGCUUAAAGCCCCCUGAAGGAACGUUAAAGACUAUGACGUUGAUAGGCUGGGUGUGUAAGUGCAGCGAUGUAUUGAGCUAACCAGUACUAAUGAUCCGUGAGGCUUAACC
Molecule: ribosomal RNA, 2890 nt
Filed under: Yersinia pestis
Lineage: Bacteria; Pseudomonadati; Pseudomonadota; Gammaproteobacteria; Enterobacterales; Yersiniaceae
Description: bacterial LSU rRNA
Rfam family: Bacterial large subunit ribosomal RNA
Source: RNAcentral